UAAUCGCUUAGGGGUGGGGUGAGAUUCCCGACCGACGGUAUAGUCCGUGAAGCCGAUUUCGGCCCGAACAGGUGAGAUUCCUGUACCGACGGUAUAGUCCGGACGAUAUAAGCGAAAU
RNAcentral lists this non-coding RNA (118 nucleotides) under Firmicutes bacterium CAG:552. RNAcentral describes it as "FMN riboswitch aptamer (RFN element)". It matches the Rfam family "FMN riboswitch aptamer (RFN element)". From Rfam's summary of the family: The RFN element is a highly conserved domain that is found frequently in the 5'-untranslated regions of prokaryotic mRNAs that encode for flavin mononucleotide (FMN) biosynthesis and transport proteins. This element is a metabolite-dependent riboswitch that directly binds FMN in the absence of proteins. In Bacillus subtilis, the riboswitch most likely controls gene expression by causing premature transcription termination within the 5' untranslated region of the ribDEAHT operon and precluding access to the ribosome-binding site of ypaA mRNA. Lineage: Bacteria; Bacillati; Bacillota. RNAcentral also lists the same sequence under 1 other name. The record is from Rfam by way of RNAcentral.